GACGAACGCUGGCGGCGUGCCUAACACAUGCAAGUCGAGCGGACUUUCCGGUGUUCGUGCACUCCGGAGGGUGACGGGCGGGCGAGUGAGUAAUACGUAGGCAACCUGCCCAUGAGACCGGGAUGACAUUCGGAAAAGUAUUCUAAUACCCGAUAUACGGACGUCUGGCGGGGGGGGAGCGGGAAAGGCGGAGCAAGCUGCCGCUUCUGGAUGGGCCUGCGGCGCAUUAGCUAGUUGGUGGGGUAACGGCCUACCAAGGCGACGAUGGGUAGCCGACCUGAGAGGGUGAUCGGCCACACUGGGACUGAGACACGGCCCAGACUCCUACGGGAGGCAGCAGUAGGGAAUCUUGGGCAAUGGACGAAAGUCUGACCGAGCAACGCCGCGUGAGUGAAGAAGGCCUUCGGGUCGUAAAGCUCUGUUGCCCGGGAAGAACGCGUUGGCCAGUAACUGCCCUUGUGAUGACGGUACCUGAAGAAAAAGCACCGGCUAACUACGUG
RNAcentral lists this ribosomal RNA (500 nucleotides) under uncultured bacterium. Its description in RNAcentral is "partial 16S ribosomal RNA". It matches the Rfam family "Bacterial small subunit ribosomal RNA", at positions 28 to 507 of the family's 1533-position model. The record is from RNAcentral.